CAGUCGCCGCGGUAAUACGAAGGGGGCUAGCGUUGCUCGGAAUGACUGGGCGUAAAGGGCGCGUAGGCGGUUUUGACAGUCAGAUGUGAAAUUCCUGGGCUUAACCUGGGGGCUGCAUUUGAGACGUCAAGACUAGAGUGUGAGAGAGGGUUGUGGAAUUCCCAGUGUAGAGGUGAAAUUCGUAGAUAUUGGGAAGAACACCGGUGGCGAAGGCGGCAACCUGGCUCAUUACUGACGCUGAGGCGCGAAAGCGUGGGGAGCAAACAGGAUUAGAUACCCGCGUAGUCCCUGUCUCUUAUAA
Molecule: ribosomal RNA, 301 nt
Filed under: uncultured bacterium
Lineage: Bacteria
Description: partial 16S ribosomal RNA
Rfam family: Bacterial small subunit ribosomal RNA
Source: RNAcentral